UAAGGAAUAUUGGUCAAUGGACGCAAGUCUGAACCAGCCAUGCCGCGUGAAGGAUGAAGGUCCUCUGGAUUGUAAACUUCUUUUAUCUGGGACGAAAACGGGAUUUUUAUCUCAAUUGACGGUACCAGAGGAAUAAGCACCGGCUAACUCCGUGCCAGCAGCCGCGGUAAUACGGAGGGUGCGAGCGUUAUCCGGAUUUACUGGGUUUAAAGGGUGCGUAGGUGGGCUUAUAAGUCAGUGGUGAAAUCUCCGAGCUUAACUUGGAAACUGCCGUUGAUACUAUAGGUCUUGAAUUAUCUGGAGGUAAGCGGAAUAUGUCAUGUAGCGGUGAGAUGCUUAGAUGUGACAUAGAACACCAAUUGCGAAGGCAGCUUACUACAUAUAAAUUGACGCUGAGGCACGAAAGCGUGGGGAUCAAACA
Molecule: ribosomal RNA, 421 nt
Filed under: uncultured bacterium
Lineage: Bacteria
Description: bacterial SSU rRNA
Rfam family: Bacterial small subunit ribosomal RNA
Source: RNAcentral